CUCAAUGGCCAUACCUCGUAGAAAACAACCGGUCUCGUCAGCUCCCUGCCGUUAAGCUGCGUCGGGUGCCGUUAGAACUUAGAAGGGUGACCACUUGGGAAUACGGGAUGCUGUUGGCA
RNAcentral lists this ribosomal RNA (119 nucleotides) under Daphnia magna. The record is from RNAcentral. Lineage: Eukaryota; Metazoa; Arthropoda; Branchiopoda; Diplostraca; Daphniidae.